Molecule: non-coding RNA, 945 nt
Organism: Oryza sativa Japonica Group (Japanese rice)
Lineage: Eukaryota; Viridiplantae; Streptophyta; Magnoliopsida; Poales; Poaceae
Source: RefSeq, a predicted model, not a curated record
UAUUAUUCCUCCCCUUUGACCAUAAUUAUCCUAUAUUCUACAUUCUAUUCUAUGCAUUUGCCAUUCAUGAUUUUGAAUGCAUAAUCUGAACAUAUAGCAAACCAGUUAUAUGCUAGCUUUUGCUUAGCCCUGCCUAGUUAAAUUGCAUAAAAUAUAAUGAACUUAGAUUGGGACAGUACGCAAGAUUUGGUUGAUUUCCGGGUGGCUAGUACUGUCUCAGUCGAUAUAAGUUUACCAAGUACUUAUGUCAAACAAACGAGUACGACCGCAGCUUCUAGAAUGGGGACAGACCUAGAUAUUAUGUUAAUUAACAAUGUGGUACCUCCGUACAGUGGUUCUUAUGUAAGUCCUCGCAAAGGAGACAAACUUAUGCCGAGAAGGGCAAAUGUGAUAUUUACCGAGGCGCAGGUAAAUAUCUUGAUUAUCGCGCGAUGUGUGUGUGAAUUUAUGAAAACCUGGUUGAGAUGACGUGGGGUCUCUCAUCCAAUUCUCUCUAAAAACCCCGGGAACGCCAGAACUCCUCUCGUUGCUGAUAACAUUACGUUCAGAGCGCAUGGGGACUAGAGUUCAUGGAACAGGUACCACAAUUGUUAAUAACCUAAUACUGGGCCAUGAAUAAGCUAAUGAUUAUUGGCAUGUUAUGGACUACAGGUAAAGCAUACAUCUACUGCAGAAUGAAUAUCCUUGAAUCUAUUCGAAUAGCCGUGCUCACGGAUCUGAGCAUUGGGACUCAUAUGAGUCUAUUUGGAGUUGUUGCCGAAGCUGGGAGUUCAAUCACAUAAGUUAGUUCCCUUUAAACCUAAUCUUCAAGUCUAGUAUAAUUAGAUGGUUUAAUUCUAUAGUAAAACAGCAAAGUUGGAUCAUCAUAUAGCUUCUGCUGUAAUAGUUAACCACAAACUUGUAAAUAUCCUAUUAUUUUAUAUAAAGAUAUCUCCUUUGGAGUCU